Molecule: ribosomal RNA, 253 nt
Filed under: uncultured bacterium
Lineage: Bacteria
Description: partial 16S ribosomal RNA
Rfam family: Bacterial small subunit ribosomal RNA
Source: RNAcentral
UACGAAGGGUGCAAGCGUUACUCGGAAUUACUGGGCGUAAAGCGUGCGUAGGCGGUUUGUUAAGUCUGCUGUGAAAGCCCCGGGCUCAACCUGGGAACGGCAGUGGAUACUGGCAAGCUAGAGUGUGUCAGAGGAUGGUGGAAUUCCCGGUGUGGCGGUGAAAUGCGUAGAGAUCGGGAGGAACAUCAGUGGCGAAGGCGGCCAUCUGGGACAACACUGACGCUGAGGCACGAAGGCUAGGGUAGCGAACGGG